GACCCGUUAGUCGAGCGGUUAAGACAUCGCCCUUUCAAGGCGGUAGCAUGGGUUCGAAUCCCGUACGGGUCA
This 72-nucleotide transfer RNA is filed under the name Caudoviricetes sp. RNAcentral's name for it is "tRNA-Glu". It matches the Rfam family "tRNA". Rfam says of the family: Transfer RNA (tRNA) molecules are approximately 80 nucleotides in length. Their secondary structure includes four short double-helical elements and three loops (D, anti-codon, and T loops). The record is from RNAcentral. Lineage: Duplodnaviria; Heunggongvirae; Uroviricota; Caudoviricetes.